ACGUCUCUCCCGUACCAGGAAGAGACGCGAACAUGUCACCUCUGGAGGGAUCGAGCCUCGCAAAGCACACAGUUGGGAUGCUAACGUGUCAAACUCAACGGCUGCUCGUGUUGUGCUCGUCCGUUAGCUUGACCCAAAAGGCGGAUACAACUUUUUGUCUGCUGCUCGGCCCUGAGCCCCGGUCGCCACCACAGUUUCGCAGCAUCGCUAACACCCACCCUCCUCCUCCGGUGCUUAACACGGAGCCGUGUCCACUUUAGCCCCCUCGCGCCACGUCAAUUAAACACGUAGACGUUUUCUGCUGAAUCCCAAACGCGGGGCGAGCGGAGACGGGAAGCUAGCGGCGGCAGGCUAGCCAGCUAACGGGCUGUGUUGCCCUGCCGGACGCCGCGACGCUGCUUCUGCGGGAUGAGAGCCCGGCGGAUCACAAGUGAGACGGGUGAAUGACGUGUCUCAAAUGUGACGCCGAGAGGAGAAAAAAAACAACACAACUCACCCAGUGCCACCUCGCAGGCUUUGCGCAGCUGGGAGUGAUGCGCCUUCUUCACCUCCUUGUCGGCCAGGAUCUUCUCCAGAGCGCGUUACCGUGGUCCAGCUGAAGUCAUAUCCAUCCACAUUGAAGACAGGCAUGAUGUAGAAGUUGAGCUGGUUGAGCAGGCGUCUCAUCACAGAGUCGUACUGCCUUUGUCUCUAAAGCCUUCUGUCCUACCUGAAGCACAUAGAGCGGCCUUCCUUCGUACGACUUCCCGAUGGAGAACAUGUCGACCAGGUCCGGUUGGGUUCUGUUCAUGUCAAACAUCCACCUCUGGAUCUUAAGGGCGUAAAGUAAUGUCAAAAAUGAAAUGUAUUUUACAAAACUGUCAAUAAAGUUUUCAGGAAUAACUUAAA
Hippoglossus stenolepis (Pacific halibut) is the source of this 888-nucleotide long non-coding RNA. RefSeq lists it as uncharacterized. The transcript has 3 exons. NCBI's taxonomy places the organism in Eukaryota, Metazoa, Chordata, Actinopteri, Pleuronectiformes, Pleuronectidae. The record is from RefSeq and is a predicted model, not a curated record.